GUCACGCAGGGAGAGGACAUGAUUCUUCCACGGCUAAGAGGCGGAGCCGGCGCUGGAUGGGCAGGACCAGAAGGAAAAUAUAAGGGACACCCUUCUGUGGGAAGCAACAGCCAACAUACUUACCUUCGUCUGGAAUAGAUUCCAAGGUGCACCUUCAUCCUCUGCGACCCCCUCAGUGGACCCUUGUGGAUUCCAGCACAUUGUGUCCACCCAGCUAAGGACGUCGUGGCACCAGGCCCCGAAUCUGAUUCCAGAAAUGGCCAAUGUGACUCUACAGAUGCCGCAGCAAUACGAUCUCGUCGGACCAGCCGUCAGUGACGUGGGGAGACAUGAAAAACCUGACCACCAAAGCGCAGGCAGUGCUGCAACAGCAACAAGUGAAGCAAACCCUCAAGAACUUAUCCGCUGCCAUUUUUGCGGUUUUAACUGCCAAUUCCUUAGCCAUCAUUUGUUUAUGUUUGAUUGUUAAUUGCUGCCCUCUAGCGACAGCACCUGUCAUCUCACCUAAACAUUCGCUUGAACAGAGAAUGAAGCAAAACCUAUGGGUGCAGCUAGCUAGCAUCACACAAAGUGAUGUCUUUUGCUUAUCUGAAUGUAUGAAAAAUUGCUUUCUACAUGAUUGGUCCCCGUUUGUACCCCGCCUGCAGUAAUUCAAAACUUCACUGGCUUGAGUAGAUUUUUAUUAAAUGAAAACUUUAAUUAUGAGACUACAUCUAGUUGGGGGUUGAUUGCCUAUGAUCCACCCCCUGACGCAAUUGCUUAACACACCCCGGUAGCAUGAGAAUAUAACACGUGCAAAAAUAGUUAAUUGUACAUCUUCAAGUAAAAAACCUCACUGUCUUCGUAUUAGUUCACCUGUUUUAAACUGUACAGCUUUUGAGGAGACUUCCUUUAAUUUUGCCCAUGUUUGGCUUCCACAAGGAUGGUUUUUUACAUGUGGUCAAGAAACUUUUCAUUAUAUUCCUGCUAAUAUUAGUGAAGCAUAGUGUUGCCUCAGCCGGUUAAUUCUUGUUUUGCUUUCCAAACAGCAAAUUCAUUCAAACCGUUCUCGACGUGGAAUCACGUUAGAUAGCACUUGUAGCUCUGAGACAGUUUUACUUAAUAAAGCAGAAUACGUAGCAUUGGCUAUAUCUAUAGCGGGUGUGCCAGCGCUUGCUACUUGUGUUCAUCUUAAUAUUAACGCUGUUGCUUGUAAUUUGGCAAAAACAAUUAAUGCUACUUCUUUAACUAUUUCAGUAAUUAAGCAUGAGUUACAAGCUUUGCAAAAGGUUAUUUUACAAAAUCACGCUGCUAUUGAUUAUUUGCUUCUGUGUCAGCAUUUGGGUUGUGAAAGUUUUGAAGGAAUGUGUUAUUUUAAUCUUUCAGAUGAAUCAUGAAUCAUCCAGCACCAGCUCAAUAUUUUACACAAUUUGAUCUCUGAUUUGAAAAUUGAUACUUUAGGAUCUUGGUGUGAAAGGUUUUGGGCUUGGUUGUCCACAGGCUUAAUCACAGCUUUUCAGGGAUUUCUGUUUAUCUUCACGCAACCCCCUUACUCUUAAUGCCAGCUCCAUUUGCCUGUACUGUAUCAUAAUAAUGUCUUUUUCAGCAUUUUCAACUUUUUGUUGCACCACCUCUUUUCGAUGUCAAAUUAAUAUUGGCUUCACUAAGAUCAUCUAGACUAUCUUCAAUUCCGGAAACAUGUUCUGUCAGUACAUUUACAAUUCCCAGCAUAUCAUCUCUGAUUUUAGAGACACGGGUAUCAAUUUUAUCAGACAACUCCCCUUUAAGUUCUUUUAUCUCCUCUUUAAUAUCUUUAAGUUUGUCUUCCACCUUAAUUGUCUGAGUGUUAAAAGCCUCAUUCAGUUCCUUCAGAAAAAAUUAUUUUUUUAGUAGAUCACCAGUAGGGGGCAUAGAGAGCGGAGGCUGCAACUUUGUGCCAGGUAUGGGCGAUGCGCCAGCACUUCUGGGGGCCGAGUGGGGCAUCUUCAAAUUAAGAUUUGGUUUUGAGGCCAUUCCAAGUUUUAUCUUCAAGCAAUUAAUAAAACUCUAUUGGCCAGCUAUACAGCUGUGGAACGAGGUAAUAAAUCACCCCUUUCCUUUGAGAUUUUGUAUACAGUUUUAAGAAGCAGCAAAUAGGAUAUAUAGCAACAGCAUUGUUAUUGGCAUAUUCUCCUUGUCAAUCUCUAAGAACAUCCCAGCCAGGGUAGAGUCUCACAUAUCUAGAUGGUUCCUGGUACUGUCUGGCGGUGCUAAUUAAGUGAACUCAUAAACAUCUGAGGUAAACAGUUACUGAGUCAUGGCAGUGUGUUGCACAUGGUCUCUUCGUAACCUUUCCUCUAUCUCUACA
Thamnophis elegans (Western terrestrial garter snake) is the source of this 2326-nucleotide long non-coding RNA. RefSeq lists it as uncharacterized. Lineage: Eukaryota; Metazoa; Chordata; Lepidosauria; Squamata; Natricidae. The record is from RefSeq and is a predicted model, not a curated record. The transcript has 3 exons.